This 449-nucleotide ribosomal RNA is filed under the name uncultured bacterium. Its description in RNAcentral is "partial 16S ribosomal RNA". It matches the Rfam family "Bacterial small subunit ribosomal RNA", at positions 29 to 523 of the family's 1533-position model. The record is from RNAcentral.
AACGAACGCUGGCGGCAGGCUUAACACAUGCAAGUCGAGCGCAUCCCUCGGGGUGAGCGGCAGACGGGUGAGUAACGCGUGGGAACGUACCCUUUCCUACGGAAUAGCUCCGGGAAACUGGAAUUAAUACCGUAUACGCCCUUAGGGGGAUAGAUUUAUCGGGGAAGGAUCGGCCCGCGUUGGAUUAGCUAGUUGGUGGGUUAAAGGCCUACCAAGGCGACGCACCAUAGCUGGUCUGAGAGGUUGAUCAGCCACAUUGGGACUGCGACACGGCCAGAACUCCUACGCUAGGCAGCAGUGGGGAAUAUCGGACAAUGGGGGCAAGCCUGAUCCAGCCAUGACGCGUGAGUGAUGAAGGCCUUAGGGUUGUAAAGCUCUUUCAGUAGGGAAGAUAAUGACGGUACCUACAGAAAAAGCCCAGGCUAACUUCGUGCCAGCAGCCGCAGUAA